This 1510-nucleotide long non-coding RNA is filed under the name Linum usitatissimum (flax). RNAcentral describes it as "long non-coding RNA (LUSI_LNC007659)". Lineage: Eukaryota; Viridiplantae; Streptophyta; Magnoliopsida; Malpighiales; Linaceae. The record is from RNAcentral.
GUGGACAAAGCUAGUCAUAAGAAGACUAGUACAAGAGAGUGGGAUGCAUUAUCCAACAAGAUAAUCAAUAAUAUGAUUAUUUUCUCGAUAAACAUAUAAAAUAAUACGGACCUCCCAAGUUCGAUGGAGAAACUCGCAAGCAUGGUGGAUCGUAGACGAGCGGAGGUGGUCACUAUAACAGAUCCAACGAACGAGAAUUUAGGCCUGCCAAUUGGAAGAAGGGGAGAAAUCAUAAUACUUUAGAAUACUUGAUUAGAAAGUAUAAAACUCAAAACACAUUUGAUUAGAUUCAAUAAAACCAAUCACAAUGGAUAGUACAUGAAAUUACAGUAAUCAACCUCUCAACACACUAGAAUGUGUAAAUCCCGGUUGGGGCUAGAUUAAGGCUUUCUGAAAGCCCAACCCCGAUGCUCCAAAUUCUACCACUAGCUGAAAUGGUUUUCGAAGUUUUUCACAAUUUCAUAUAUGAACUUGAAUUUUUUUAAAAACAUAUAAUCAGAUUGAAAUGACUAAGAGAGUAAAUUGUUUAGAUCUUCAUAAUCCGAUGAACUAAUUGAAUCUGAUUCUUACAAUCCUUUAACUAUAUAUUCUAUUAUUAUCGAGAUUAUCAGUUCAACAGGACUCAAAACUAUAUAAAUUAAAAAAAAAAUCAAAUCAUAAACAUUAGCCAAUUUUGCAUUGAUGAUGAAGAGACCUCUAUCUCCCAUCAGCUGCCCCAAUUUAUUUCACUCGUCCAAAAAAUUGUGGUAGUUCUGAUGAAGAUAUCUUCAUUCAUUUCUAUAGUAUUUUUUCCCCAAUUUUUUCCGCCGGAGGAUGUGAACAAUUGUCGUUUGACUUUUCCCACUGUCCACAUCUUCUGACUACUGACAAAUGACAAUGACCAGCUUGCUGGUUUAUGUGGGACCCUGGCCAGUCGAGAAUUACAAAAUUAUUGUAAGGGUUAUUAGGCGAUAUUUCAAAUAUUAUGUUAUUCGAAAUAUUGUGAUAUUAGAUGAAAUAGAUAUUGAUAUUAAAUUAUAAAUUAUAAAUUUGAUAUUAUUAAAUGAAAUUAUUUAAUUACAAAAAUAUCAUUUUUUUUAUCAGGACCCUCUUCACUCUAUCACCUUCUACUUUCUCUUCCCUCUUUGUUGAAUUGAAAAAUAGAGUUUAAUGAAUCACCCAAGGAGAGAUCCUAACGAAACAAUUGGGCAACAAUUAGAGGGGAAAAAGACGAUACAAUUGGAUAACAGUUAAUCUCUUUCUUUAAAAUUAAUUACUUGCAGUUUAUUAGUUAUACAGAAAGAGAAAUGACGGAGGAAGAGAAGAGAGGAAACAACCUUCAUCAUGGAUUUCAAUGGAAGAGGGGGAGAGUUGUUUCUGCCCUCGCACCUGCUAUCAUCGAUUUUUUAUUGUUUUCUCACUGCCUGAUUUGUGCUUCCGUUUGCUAGCUACUUUGGCUGGUUUCUCUGGGUGUUUUGUUGGUGUUUGUGUUUCUGUAUCAAGCCUUACGGCUUGUAGUUCCUGCUUUUUA